Molecule: long non-coding RNA, 20579 nt
Filed under: Marmota monax (woodchuck)
Lineage: Eukaryota; Metazoa; Chordata; Mammalia; Rodentia; Sciuridae
Source: RNAcentral
UGUGAGUAGUUGGGGGAGGGGGCGCGGCGGGAAGGGCAAGGGGUAGGGCUGGCUCCUGGGCGAGACGCCGAGGGGGGCCGAGGUGUUUUCUCCCCCGCCACAGGCACGCAGCGAGGGAGGAGGCUGGCGGGAAGCCUGGCCGGCGCGCGGCGCGGGGAAUCGAUGACUCGGCCUAUGGGCACGGCCACCUGGGUGAGGGACAGCGAAGGGGGCGGCGGAGCACCGAUAUCAUGGAUGGGCUCCGAGGGGCUGCGGGAGGGGCACGUCAAUGUUCGGGGCCGUUUUGGCGGCUAGGCGGGAUUGGCCGGAGCUGCAGUACUCGCGCUCGCCUCGCCGACCGCCAUUUCACAUCCUGUAAAGAAGGCGGGGGGAGCCGCGGAGACAAUUUUUCACAAGGUAAGAGAACCCGCCUGCCGGAGGAGGGAGGCGCGGCACACAGAUCUCGUGCCGCUGCGGCCUCGCGGGAGGGCGGGUGGCGAAACGGGCGGGGCCGGGCGCGGGCUCAGCCGGCCCUUCUCAGGUAACGGCGCGGCUCCGCGCUAGACCCUGGGGAAGCGCGCGAGGGGCGGGGGCGCGCGAGCGCGGGUUUCGGCCCAUAGAAGGACCGCCGCCGCGCUCCCCCUUCGUGCCCCCUCAUCUGUGCCUGCUGCAAUGUCUGUGCCUGGCCAGUUAAUGAGAUUUAUUCACGCACAGUUCUGCCCAGCUUUGCCUGGGGUUGGCCGAUCCUGUACACAGGGAUUUCCCACCACCGUGCUUUCUCCCGCCCCUUGCCUUCCCUCUCGCCCUAGAAUAUCCUUGGUUUCCUCCUCUACGCGCCUGGCUGCGUCCCGGGCACGCGCAAGUACAUGUAAGGACUUGUCAGCUCCCAGUGACCUCCCUCCACUCCUCCCCUGGCGGAAUGAGGAUUAAGAGCCUUUCAAGAGAAAAUUUUGGCCAAAGAAAAAGGCCCGUGAAAGUCACCGCGUUAGAUAUGGAUUCUCAGUGUUAUUCAUUAACACGUUGUGCAAGGUUUUACUACCGAUGGCGUAAAGGCAAAAAAGAGGGGAAGGACCGAUAUACAAAACAACUUUAUUCAAAAAUCGAGAGAGGAUGAAGCGAUGCAGUUAGGGAAUAAAAAGAGUUGCUGUUGGGUUGCCUCUUAAGUUGAAACCGAUGUGUUUUGUCUGGCUUGUUCACUGAUAUUGGGCGUGACCUUGGACAAAUGAUUUGGUUUCUGUGUCUUUUUUCUCGAAUGUUCAACGAGAGGGUUUCUCGUAGAAUCUACACCUUAAGGAUUUCUUCCCCCAAAAACGAUUUAAGCGAUGGGAGACAGAAGCCACGAUUUUACGUUCGAAUUUUGCCACCAAAUUAGGAUUCUUGGCAGUCGUUUUCAGUCUUUCAAAAAUAAAGAUCAUUUUUUCACGCUUAUGUAUUAUACAGGUGCAUUUUACUGGUUACUGAGAGCUUCUCAUUUGGAACCAUUGUGGGUCUUCAAAUAGAAAAAUCCAAGGCUCAAAGGGACAGGUCGCUAAACGAAACUGUCUGUAAAUUCCACAACAUACAAAUGCUAAUAAGAACUUAUGCUUGAAGGGAUUUGAGACUGAUUAACCCAGAGUAAAUUAGCCUGCAGUUCUUAACCUCAGAGCAUCAUUAUAAACAUAGGUGACAAGAUUGCUACUAAUAUACAGGAAAUUACCUAAUAACAGUUUGAGGAGGCAAAAUCUCUUAAAAUUGAUUUGAAGUUUUAGGAGCCUACAGAAGUGAUUAAAAAAUGUGAUUAUCAUGUGCGAAGCCCUGUUUGAUCCCUAGCACCGCCCCCCCAAAAUUGUCUAUAUUCUAGUAUGCAUUUUUUUGAUUAAUAUUAUGUUUAGCUCAUUGUCAGAUGCACAAUACAAAUGAUUCUCAUGGAGUUCUGUGGAACCUAGGGUAUUCUAUAAAAUGUAAUAUUUUGGUCCUUACUGAAUUACAUUUUGGGGGGUGGAGUCUGAAAAUCUGUAUUGUUAGCAAUCCUAUCAGCCACACCCAUGUUUCUUAGCAACAUAAAAUUAAGAACCUAUGUAUCAUAAUAAGUAUAUUCAUAAUUUUUAUACUAUUCCUAAAUGAACAAAAAAAAUCUCACAGUUUAGCUGUUUCUAGGUUUCUAUCACCUUACCUCUUGAAUUUACUUUAAGAAAAGGCAAUUUCAACCUUGGAGUUUUCUAGAACUCCAAGGAAAGAAUGUUCACUCUUAAAAACAUUUGCAGCAUGAAUGUUAGGAAUACUGUAUGUCUUGGGUGUAAUUUAGUUUAAGUUGAUGCUCAAAUUGAAAACCUGACAUCAGUCCUGUAAUUGGCCACUCUUAAUUGUGUUUUAUAAACAUACUCUUCCUGAAGUAAGAAAGAGUCCUAAAAUUUUGAGUCUAAGAUACAAAAUUUAAACCUUUCUUGCUAAAUUAGUUUGUCAGAUUAGUUUGUCAGAUUUUUCGUGGGUGAAAAUUCACAUUUGGAAGUCUAACUCCUCUAAAAACAAUAAAAGUCACCUGAAAUUACCUUGUCUAUACAUAUGAGAAAUGCCAAAGUUGAACUCUUUUAAUAUUCUUAAUGCUUUUUUUCCCCUCAUUUUUUUGGAUUGGCUAUUAUUUGCUAAAUAAUUUGAGAUAUGGAGAGAAACAAAAGAGACAUGGAUUUUAUAGUUUUAUAGUUCUGCAUCAGAAAAAUGUACUUUUUAUCCUCAUGGAUUUUAUAGUUCUGCAUCAGAAAAAUGUACUUAAAACAUUUCAAUUAACAUUUUCUUCAUUCUUCUAGUUCACUGACCUAUACUCAUGCCUUUACUAAAAAAGCCUGCUCUGUGUUCUGUACCAAUAUUGUUUAACUAACAUCUGGCGAUUGGCAAUUUAUGAACUAGAAUAUAAAGCAAUGCUGUAAUCCCAGCUAUUGGGGAGGCUGAGAAAGGAGAAUCACAAGUUAGAGGUCAGUCUGGGCAACUUAGCAAGACCCUGUCUCAAAAUAAAAAAGGCUGGAGAUGUAGCUGAAUAGUAGAGCAUUUGCCUGGCAUGGGCAAGGCCCUGGGUUCAAUUCCUAGUACUGUUUUUUUUUUUUUUUUGUUUUUUUUUAAAGGCCAUAGUUUUGCAACAGAUACUAUAAGAUGGCUUAUUCAAUACACAUCCUUUAUCUUCUUUAUCUUGUUUUUCUGUACUUUAGAAUCUGGAAAAUAAAAAACUACUGUUUCCCAGACUCCCUUGCAGCUAGAAUGUUGCCAUGAGAUUAGUUGUAUGCUGGUAAAUGUUUAACAACAGCUGGGGAAGGGAGGAUCCUAAUCUGUAACAUUGGCUACAAAUUUUCAUAGUAAUCAAAGCUACUAAUGUGACUUCACUGAAUGUGAGUUAGUUGAAAAUGAUGCUAACCAGAAGCUAGCUUUUAUGGCUUAGUUUCCAACAAUCAGAUGUACCCAUUCAAGAUAUAUUUGUGAGCUGAGUGCAGAUGUACAUGCCUGUAACCCCAGAAACUCAGGAGGCUGAAGAAUGAGGUUGCAAGUUUGAGGCCAGCCUGGCCAACACAGCAAGACCAUGUCUCAAAAUGAAAAGAGCUGGUAAAGUUCCCCUAGGUUAAAUCCCCAGUAGAAAACAACAACAAUAAAACACUGAAAGAGAAGUGUUUGUGAAAGUGAACAACAUGAUACACUUCAACUAUACUUAGAAGACAGGAUCUUCUGGCAAACACCAUGGUGAUGUCUGGUUCUUCUAGGUAGCUAGGGAGGAGUUGUAGCAUCUCACUUUGGAGUCAUAGAUACUGACUGCCAAUUGAUGCUGGGUUUCGUGGGAUGGGUAUUCCUCCUGGCUUGAUUUUUUUCCUAGAUGUUUCUAGCUAUGAUUCCCUGGCUCUGUAAGAGAUGUGUGAGCUAAAUAAUAUCCAUUAAUCCCUUGCUACUUAAACUAACCCAGUCAUGUCCAGCUACAUAAUUUGUGGGCUUCAGAGCUAACUGAAAAUGUAGGGCCACUUGUUCAAAAGGCAGGAAAAAGGUGCCAUUUUCUACCCUAAAAUAUCUAGCUUUUUUUCUCUUCUCCCCUUCUAGUUAUAGUGUUUUAAUGUGCUUUUUUAAUGUCAAUGUAAGUAAAAAACUUAAACUUUUAAAUUCUUAGGAUAAAUUUUACCAUUCAUCUUUAUAUUAUGCAAUGCCAUUUUAAAGGGCAAAUACGAGAGCAUUUCACUCAUACAAAAUUUCACUCACCAAAAUACACAAUUGGUGUUUCGUAGCUUAUUCAUUCAGAUGUAUUCUUUUGCUACCAGAACAAUGUGAACUCUGCACAAAACUAACUCAAUUAUUUUUAUUUUACUUCUUCAUAUGCACAAUUCUACUUCUAGUUAUUACUACCUUCUACUUACUAAUGAGCAAGAAAAGAAUGAAAGGAAAGAACCCUAGGUUGCUUGCUCUUUCUUUCUUUUUCUUUGUUUCUCUAAUUAUCUUCAGUGUAAAUGAUUGGCUGCCGCAGUCUGGCUGGGCACAAUCAGGAGCCACUUGUCAAAAGAAACUAACUUUAUUUUUAGAACCACACACGCCAAACAAAACAGCCUCUCAGGAAAAACCCUCAGAGCCUCAACUGCCACCACCGGCUUUCCACAAGCCUCUCUCUCCCACACAAGCUUCUCUCCACCUCCCACAAUCCUCCUGCUCUUGAGGCCGAUUGGCUGGGUCACGUGGGCGGAGCCAAAAAAGUCCCCCAAUGAGCAGCUCCGUGGUCUGAAAGGGCAGGGAAACAGCCCAAUGAGCAUCACCCCAGAGGAGCCAAUCAGCUAGAUGUUGCUGGGGCCGAGGAGCCAAUCAGCUAGAUGUUGCUGGGGCGGCUGUGAGCCAAUCAUCAGCCGGCAGCUGGAAGUUUGCUGGGGCCCCUUCGGCUGUGGCUCUCAACAAUUGGCUAAUAUAGAGAAGUAACCCAUGAGUAAGAAAGGAUAUAAUUGAAUAUUUUUGUUCAUUUGUAUCUCUUGGCAUACUGUGGCCUUCUUUCUGCACCUAAAGCAAGUUCUGGUUCUUAUGGAGAGCAUAGCUUUUUGGAACUGUCUGCACCUCUAGUAACUCAGUCAUAAAUAUUACAUGCUUUUCUUGUACCCACUUUGUGGCUCUCUGAGUUCCUACACCUCAUAAGUCCACCAGAAUCCUGCUGUUAUGUGGCAUCAUAAAGACUAUAUGCAAAGGGGGAGGCAAGGAUGAAAAGAUGCAUAUAAUCUCUAUUUGUAUGUUUUAUUGUACCACUGCUCUUCACUUAUAAAACAGACAUUCAAACAAAAACUAGAAAGUUUCAAGAUGGUGACUAAUGAACAUUAAAUCAAGCACUGGGCCCUGUGUGGCUGCACAGGUUGCCUGCCCAUGAAGUUGGCCCUGAUCUCCGAGUUUCUCAAGGGACCUUCUGACAUUUUGGUGAAACAGUUCUCCAUACAGGACAUUACAUCCACAUUCAUGUUGCCUGGGCACUACAUUACUACUGUGACAAUCAGAAAUGUCCAAUAAUUUCUAAAUGCAAAAAAGGAAGAGUUACUGCUCUCUACUGAUCUAGAGUGGAAUCCACUGUAGCUAUGAACCAUGACAACUACAGAUGUGAGAAAGGCCCUCUCCAGUUUUCAUUAGCAAUUCUGAAGCAGAAUAAAAAUACAACAGAGCUGAGUUUAAAGGAUUUCUAAUUCUCAUGCCCAGGACAGCAGAAUUAUGAUGAUCUUGCCUCCCUCCAUUGUCAGAGAAAUAAUACCACCUACAUUGAUAGUGAAACAAAUUCUUGGGAUAAACAUUUAAAGGUAAUUCAUGAGUUUUAUGUGUUUGUGAUGUUGUGAUAUAGAUAUAUAGCUAUAGAUAUAGACUGGCCACCAGAAUGAUCAAAGCAGGAUUAGAGGGUUGAGACUUUCAGUCCCAUCCUCCAACUUCUGGGUAGUGGUGAGGGGCUGGACAUUGACUAGAGCACCAAUGGUCAGUGAUUUAAUGGUCAUACCAGUUUAAUAAAGCCUCUAUAAAAAGGAUAGGACAGAGGACUUCCCAAGAGCUUAACACAUGUAGGUUCCUGAGUGGUGAGGUGCCCAGAGGGCUUGGAAGCCUCAUACCCUUUCAACCAUAUCUUGCCUUAUUCAUCUCUUCAUCUGAUGUACACCAGUAUCCUUUGUAAUAAAUCCCUUAUAAUAAAUUGGUGAACCUACAUGUUUCCUCAAGUUCUGCAAGCCACUCUAGGACAUUAAUUGAACCCAAAGAAGAACUUAAAGCCAGUCAACAAUACAAGUACAACAACCUGAAUCUUGCUAUUGGCCACUGAAGGGCAAUGGUGUAAGAGUUGCAGUCUUGGUGGCUGAGCCCUCACCUGUGGCAUCUUAUACUACCUCCAGGUAGAUAGUGUCAGAAUUGAAUUGAAUUAGAGGAUACCCUGUUGGGGUCCUCUGCUUGCUAGGCGGUUGGGGAAAAAUCCCUACACAUCUGGUGUCAAGUGUGUUAUGAGAGAACAGGAAAAAGUGAGUUUGUUUUUUCUGCUCUGUAAAAGGAGUUUAUUCUAGAUGGCAAUUUCUGAUAAUUUUUUUUUAAGUAUUUAUAUGUAUCUAUAGAGAAGAGGGAAGCAGAUAACCACAGAGCAGCAGAGUAUCAUCUUAACUUCAUCAGUUGUAACUUCAUCAGUUGGCGGAAAGGGAAGAAAGGCCCCUAGGAAACACUAAGGAAGUUGCCAUAGUGAACUAUGAUGCUUUUACUAUGUUAGAUUUUAAACUUUAUUUCGUUGUAUCUCUAUUUUUUUAAGUUUAGUUCUUGAUUUAAGAACAUGAACAUUGUAGCAUGUUACAGGUGAAACAAGAUAUCCCAAAUUAUUCUGUUUGCUUUAAACUAUAAGCCUCAUAGGGAUUUAAAGAGCAAGCUCCAUAAACCUGGCCCUGCCUUUGAUAACGGUGAACCUUAGUUUCUAUGAACCUCAGUUUUCUCUUCAAUAAAACAGGGACAAUAGUAUACUUACCUUAGUUUCUUAAGUCAUUUCACCAAAAGCCAAUUCACUAAAGUACCAAGAAUACAAUUAUUAAGUACAUUCAAGAUGAAUAUUACCUAAAACAAGUUAGCUUUGGCAAAUUGGACAGUUUUUCAUUCCUAGUAAGGAUAGUAUAAAGAUCAAAUGAAGUAGUAAGUAAAUAAAUAAGUGAAUAAAUAAGUAAAUAAAUGUUUAGCAAAAUUCUUGGUAAAUCUUAGCUAUAAUUUCCUCACCAUGCAAAUUUCAAGUCCUGCCCAUUCUCUCUUCAGAAAAUUCACAAUUCCUGUUCACAUAAUCAUUGUUUUGUUGAAGGCUUUCACUACCUUUUAGAUUUCCUAUUGUAAUAGUCACUUAAUUGGCUUAUUCUCCUCCAGUCUUAUUGUACACACUACUUCCAAGGUGAUCUGUCUACCACUUAUCAUCUACAAUAAAAGAAAGGAAGGAAAGGAAAAGGGAAGGGAAGAAAUAUAAGCCUCGUGAUUUGGUCUAAAUAUUCAGCAUCAUCUCUUUUCCCCUUUUUCAUUUAUCUUCCAGCCCACUAAAUACUUAGUUUCCUUAUCAUGCAAUUCUUUUCCAAGAAGCAACAAAUCUGUAGGUUUGCAUUGCUUUUUCUUUUUUUUUUUUUUAACAUUUUUUAGUUGUUGAUAGAUCUUUAUUUUUAUUUAUUUAUAUGUAGUGCUGAGAAUCUAACCUAGUGCCUCACACAUGUCAGGCAAGUGUGCUACCACUGAGCCCCAGCCCUAGCCCCUGCAUUUCUAAUAAAUAUUUUUCCUCCUCUUUUGGUAAAAUUCUUACUCACCUUUCAAGUUUUAGCCAAAAUGCUACUUCCUUGUAAAGAUUUCCUUGAUUUCCUCAAGCAGAUUUAGGUAUUAUUUGAGGGCUUCCAAUGGCCUUUUUGUGCCUACUUCUAUUCUAAUGCUUACAUUAUUGUAGUUGUUUGUUACUUUGUAAUUCUAAUAGACUGUUAUGUCCUAGAAGAAGAGGACUGUGUCUUUUCAUCAUUUAUGUCCUAGCUCAAGGAUAGUGCCUAGCAUGUAAGUCCUUGACAUUUACUGAAUUAAAAAAUCAAUUACAAACCUCUCUCUACCACACUUCCAUUUUACAAAUCAGCAAACUGAGGCCCAAAUAAAUAAAGCUAUUGAGAAUCAAUGCCUCCUAACUCCAAAUCUAUAACUUUUAAUGCUAUACCAUAGAGAAUCUUCUCAGUAACAUCUGCAUUCCAGUCAUUUCUAUUGUAGGAAACUGCCUAUUUUAUCAUUUUUUCCAUUUGUCUCUAAUGUAGGGAAUAGGUAGAAGGACAGUGAUUUGAUAAGAUUUGUAUUUCCUUCCUUAUUCAGUCAGGGUUUUUAUUUGUUUUCUAGUACAUUCAGUAAAAUUCAAGGUAAAUUAUUCUUUGUGUCAUCCUUUUCUCACAGAAGUUGGUUUCUUUACUACCAGAGGAUCAAUGUUUCAUGCAUUUAUUCCAAUGAUUCUCAGGCAGGAGUGAUUUUGCCCCCCAGUGCACAUUUGUCAAAAUGGAGACAUUUUUGAUGAUCAUAUCUGAGGCAGUGCUACUGGCAUCUAGUAGGUAAGAGGUCAGGAAUACAGCUAAACUUCUUACAAUGCCUGCAACAUAAAAGAAUUAUCUGAUUCAAAGUGUCAGUCAUGCAGAAGUUGAUCUAGUCUACAGGAAAUUUUUACCCAGCCCUUCAUCCAAUGUUUUGCCUUUAUGAGAUGAUGAUGGAAAAGAACUCCUUCCCAGAGAGAUGUGGAAAUCCAAAGUAAGUAUAGCAAACCUUGGAGGCAAUUGCUGUCAACUAUACCCAGGUCCCAAAAGGCUUAAUGCAGGUUUCCCCAAUUUAGUCACAGCACCUGCUUGGGUACAAGGUAAGGAGAUAAAUAUUUAUUGCUUACUUAAUAAAGUAUUUGUGACCAAAGAAUAAGGUUUUAUUUCUCUGUUUAAACUAAAGUCAAAUUAAUAGUAUGGUGAAAUGAAUUUCCUGAACAAAGAUCUUUUCUCUGUUAUCUCUUUAACCAAUUAAUCUACUCAGUUACUAGAAGAAGCAAAAUUUUCUUAAACAAUUCUCCCUUUUCUGUAAAUUAGCAGUGAGAGUCUUAAGGGAGAGACCUUGAGCCAGUAAAAGAUAAUGUGUGAGGGCUGGGGCUAGGGCUCGGCAGCAGAGUGCUUGCCUUAUACUUGUGAGGCACUGGGUCUGAGUCUCAGCACCACAUAAAAAUAAACAAACAAAGGUAUUGUGUCCAUCUACAACUAAAACGUGUGUGUGUGUGUGUGUAUACGUAUAUAUAUAUUCAUUAAAAAAAAGAUAAUGUGAGGAAAAAAUAAAUAAAAGAAGCUUUCAGAAUAGAGUAAUAACCUGAUGCCUUAGAUCUCUAAGACUCAUUUAAAUUAUAUAUCCAGAGUUGAUAUUGAUAUUGAUAUUCUGAUGGAUUAUAGACCGUCAAGAAGAGACCAAACAUACAUAAAGUAAGAAGAGAUUAAAUUCUCAAAUUGGUACAAAAUCUACAAAGCAAAGUGACUAUCUGGAGCAGCAUCUCUCAAGGUAGUUUCUUCUGGCCCCAAAGUCCCUGACACACUUUUAUGUUCACAACUUAAAUCAAACUCCAGAAAAACUUACACUAAUAAUUUUUGUUAUUGACACUGAACUCUCCUGCGUUUGAAGUUUGUAAAGGUUUCCUUGAAUUCCCCAGGCAGAUUUAGGUAUUACUUUGAACUUUUCGCUUAUCUUUGUGUGCAUACUUCUAUUCUAAUACGUAUACUAUUGUAGUUAUUUGUUAGUCUGUAAUUCUAAUAGACUGUUAUCUCCUUGAAGAAAGGAGAUAUGUCUUUUCAUCUUUUAUAUCCUAGUUUAUGCUACAUCCUCAUCCCAGAGACAAGGAAACAAUAUUCUCAGAUCUAUAUGCAGAUCAUUACUUUUAUUUCCUUAUUUUCUCAAUAAAAUGCAUUUUUCCAACAUUAAGUUUUAAAUGUGUAACAUAGAAAAUAUGAAAACCCAUCAGAAAGUAUGGAAUAUUCAGUGCCACCCAAAAGCAGUCUGAUUAACACUUUAGUCCAAUCUUUUAUAGAAAAAAAUUUCCAUAAAUAUAUUACAUAGUGGAAAUAAUGUCCUAGUUUUUCCACUUUGCAUUAUAGCAGAAGUUUCCCAUGCAAAUUAAAACUUUUCAUAUACAUUAUUUUAAUGACUGCAUGUGCUGUGCUGCAAACAUAGAACAGUUUACCUAACCUUUUUCCUACUCAACUGUUAGAUAGUAGCAGAAUGGUUCAAACUUUACAUUUUUAUAAAUAUCAUACUAAGAAUGUUUUGGUUGAAAAUGUUGCUUCAUUUAGGAUGUUAACUUUAAUAUUUUAAGAAACUUACUCUGUAGUUGAUUAUUUGACAAGAACACUAGUUACCGGUAUAUACCGUGUGUCUUCUCUACCGGAGAGAGAAUUAUGUGUGCUAUUCUUUAUCUGCUUGGUUUGCCCUUUCUUUCCCAUCUCUUUUUGUCCAAUUACCUCAUUCUUAAGAUCUCAGCUCAAAGGUCACUUCUUUAGUGAAGCCUUCCCAACUGUUCAGUAUUUGAUUAUUUGCCCUAAUUGUUAUAUCUAAUUAUACUGUUUACAUUUUCCAUAGUAAAUACUCUGAUUGUAAUAAUCCAUUUAUUUGCAUGUUAUUUGCUUCCUUUGGACUACAAUAAUACAAUCACUAUAUGGAUAAGAAGAGAUUAUAAUUUUAUAAUAUAAACAUAGGCCAAUUCAUAUGAUCCUGUGUGUAUCAUUGUAACAAGAUGGGUUAAAGCUUGAGAUUGAAAUAUAGUUAGUCAAAAAAUAUUUGUGUGUCACACAUUAUAUUAAGUGCUGGGAAUAUAGAAGUGAAAAACACAAGCACAAUUUUAGCCUUCUGGAGCUUCUAGUCUAGUGCAGAGGUUAACAAACUUUCUAUUAACAGACAGAUAAUGAAUAUUUUAAGCUUCCCAGGCCAUGUGGUCUCUCUUAAAAGUACUUAACUUUGCUUUUGAGACGCAACAUCAUUCAUAGACCAUAUAUAAACAAGACUGUGGCUAUGUUUUGUUUUGUUUUUGAGACAGGGUCACUUAGUUGCUGAGGCUGGCUUCGAAAUUGUGAUCCUCCUGCCUCAGCCUCUCAAGUUGCUGGGAUUACAAACAUGUUCCACCAUGCACUGCUUCCAAUAAAACUGUAUUUUAAAAAUAGGCUCUGGGCUGGAUUUGAUCAUGAAUCAUGGUGUACCUGACCCCUGUUCUAAUGAACAAUAUAGCCACUAAACAGAUUAUUUGAAAUGAUGAUUACUUAAAAGGACAGGGUAAAUAAAGACCCAUGGCAUAAUUGCCUAAUCUAGUCUAGGGAGACAAAUAAAAGUUUCUUUGAGGAAAAUGACUUUAGAUUUGAGGAAGAGAAAUUAUCCAAAUGAAAGUAGGGGUACCAGGCUUAGUGAAGAUCCAAAGCAUGAAAAAAACAUGAGUUAGAAAUUCAUUCCUAAGCUUCAUGAUUAUCAGAGAGAGCUAGAUGGAUUUGUUAAAGUAUAGCAUAUUGAGUGAAAAGAUAGACCCAGAGCACUCAAGAAUUUUCAGAACCUAGUACUUCCCUAGAAGAGAAAAUGCUACCAAGAGAGACUCGAAAGGAACCACCAGUGAGAAGUAGCAGGAGGAGAAAGUUUAAGACUUUGCAGAAUCCUCUAGCCUGCUUUUCCAUUUGGCCUGGAUAUUUAUGGAUGUGUGGAAUGUAGGUUGGAAAAUAUUAGCCUAAAGGUUCUAAGAUACUCAGAGAAUUGACAGUUUCUGAAGGGUAAGAUAGAUAGGUAGAUAUCUAAUAUAUAUAUUAGAGAGGGAGAGAGAAUAGAGCUGAGGGGCGAGCAGGAGUGGUAGUGUUGAGAAAGAAGAGGUAAUAAAAUAAUCAGAUAAGUAGUAGUGAGAAACACGUUGCUGGUACAUAAUAGGUGCUUAAUAAUUUUUUGAUAAAUGUAUGAAAGGAUAACAAUAUAAUGUGAGAUCAAAUAAACUAAGAAGGAAAGCAUUUCAAUAACAGGUUGGUCAAUAGUUUUGAAUACUUAAGAGGCUCAAGGUUGAUUUCCUUGGCUGUCUGAGAAAAAAUGCAGAUCAUUCCCCCAUGACCCCUUGAUGCAUGCCCUUGCACAGGAGCCUGACUUCCUGUUCCUGCCUCUAGCAAAACCUGACCUCACUCUUUUCUUCCCUAAGGAUUUUAGUGACUUGGAAGAGGUACCCUCUUAUGUCAGUAUAUAUGCAAUAUGAAAAUAUUAUAAACUUAGAAUAGGAACAAGAUUCUUAUAGCCAUUCAUAAGGUUUCAUAAAUUAUAAUGAUACCAGCUCAACUGUUUUUUCAUCUCUCAUAUUAAAAAUGCAUUUUAUUACUUCUAAGCAUUUUGUAUUAUUAGCUUUUUAUUAACUUAGUAGUAUUUCUAAAGUCCUGUGUUAGAUGCUGUGGGUGAUUUUUUUUUUUUUAAGGAAAAAAAAAACAUGGCUCUGGUCUCAAGCAUUAUGUAAUUGACCAAUAAGUUGUAAGUUUCUCAACAUUAGGAAUCAUAUUUCGCAUUUUUUUCCUUGCAUAGUACCAGACAUAUUGUGGUUGGUACUACAGAAACAAUUGUUCCCUGCCCUCUGCAUUUUACCAUUUGGUAAGCAAAUGGUGUCCAUCUAGCCACUUCUGAAUGACACAAAUAAAACAUGCAACUAUCUGAGGCAGACAGUGAUAUUCUGAAGCCAUCAGUAACAGCAAUUUUCAGCUUGUUGAAGGUGGAGGUUCUUUGGGUAAAGGCCAGCCUGUCAGGAAAUAAUAUGCCACCCUGUUCUUUCAAGAUUAUAAAAAAACCUUUCUAUAUCUGUUUUUACACUUAAAAAAAAAAAAAGUUGUACAAAUCACCCAAUGGUCUCACCAGAUGUUUUCAAAUCAGAACUGGGGCAAUUGAGUUGUAAUUUAUUUUCAGAAAUUCACAAGAGCAGGAGCUGAGAUUUUUCUUGCCUGAAUUAGCAGGUGAUUUCAUUCUCCAUUCAUGUUUAGCAGAGAAAAUCUAGCCUCAGGAUGAAAAUGUGAAACAGAAGUUCUUGGCAAAUCUGAAAAGUGGAACAGAGAUUUAGUCUUAUGAAUGAAGGGAAACAAUACUCGUUUUUAUUAAGCAGCUGCUUAUUUCAGCAUUAGAACUAUUUUUACACUGAAAGGUCAUAGAGAAAGGAGGAUCCCCAUUCUAACCUGUUCCCCUAUACUAAGCAUAUCCAAAAGUUUUUAAUUGAUUACAAAUUACUUAAUUUGGCAUUUGGCUUAUAUUCUUCCUUCUUUACUUUAAUUCCUACACUCAUCCUGAGUGAAUUAUCACCAAGUAGACAUAUAAUGCUGCUGGGAAGGAGAUGUUAUACCAUGUGAUGUAUUAGUGUCUAUUAUCUGAACCUUAUACCCUGUAAGCCAAAGUAUUGUAUCAUAAAUUCUCCCUUGUAUUCCCCAAAUUAGAAGUUCUGUGACGUGCUCAUCUCCAGUGAUCUCUGCUUCCCUUCAUUCACUUACUUCUAUUACCACACCCUAGAUCUUGUCAUACAUCCAGUCUGUUUCACCUAUAGCUUCAUAAAUGCAAAUUUCAGUUGUUUGGCCAGAACUUUCAUCCUACUCUAUCAAUAUUUUCCCAGUACAACCAUACUUAGAACACUCCAGUGUUCUUCCCUACUCUUUGUCACUCUGUCACCUUUCUCUGACUUGGAACCUACAGUCUAUAGACAUCUCUUUUUCUCUAUAAUAACCUUCACCUGUUUUCACUUCCUUUUGUCUCCUGCUGUGAGCUAUAUUAAAUAAUGUUACUACUUUCUUGCAGGGAGCCACAACCAUCUUCCCAUGUUGUUCUUCUAUCACACUUGCCUAACAAAACACCAAAUCCAACUGCAUGCUUGCACCCAGAUUGUUCAUUGUACCCAGAUAGAAAAAAGACUGAAGUGCAGAUUGGCUUUUUAAAACUAUAAAUUCAGGAUCACAAACUUCAGCUAGAUCCCUCUCUCUCCAUGCUAUUGGAGGGCAGUGUUACAUCUUGUAAUGUAUUACUCUCUACCAUCCCCAUUUCAUAUGCUAUAUGCAUAAGUGUAGUAUUAUUAUGUAGUGUAAUUCUCCUUUGUGUACCCUAAUUUUUUUUUCUGCUUUUAUUUAUUUAUUUAUUUAUAUGUGGUGCUGAGGAUCGAACCCAGGGCCUCACGUGUGCUAGGUGAGCUCUCUACCACUGAGCCACAACCCAGCCCAUUCAUUGUUUUUUUUUUUAAUUUUUUGCCAAUAUUUAUUGUCUGUAUUUUUUUAGUAGUUGCUCAAGACAAUACAAUGAUCUUGACAUAUCAUACAUUUGAUUCAAAUAGGGUAUGAAUUCUCAUUUUUUCACAUGUACAAAUUGCAGGAUCACAUUGGUUAUACAUCCAUAUACAUACAUAUAGCAAUCCUAGUGUCAGUUGUAUUCUGCUGCCCUCCCUAUCCCCCCUCCCCUCCCCUCCCCUGCCAUCACUAUUCUCUACCCAUUCUACUGUGAUACUUAUCUCUCUCUUUUUUCUUCUUCUUCUCUUCCCCCUCACACCAUUGUAUAUAUAUUUUGUGAACCCAUGAGGGUCUCCUUCCGUCUUCCAUGCAAUUCCCCUUCUCCCUCCCUUUCCCUCCCAACUUUUUUCCUUGUUUCAUGGUAAUCUUCUUCUGAUGCUCUUCCUUCCUACUCUGUUUUGAGUCUCCCCCCUUAUAUCAGAGAAGACAUUCGGCAUUUGUUUUUUAGGGACUGGCUAACUUCGCUUAGCAUAAUCUGCUCUAGUGCCAUCCAUUUCCCUGCAAAUGCCCUAAAUUAAUUAAAUAGUCUGAAUCAUUUAGAAUAUCAUUUCUCCCCUCCCUCCAUCAAGUUAGCUUUUGUGCUUAUUUUCCUAUCGUUGGGGAUCUAAUUCAUCUGAUAAGAUACAUUUCUAAUAUUUUUUCAGUCAAAUAUCCCGAUGUGAGAUGAAAUAACAACUGAAGACAAUCAGUCUUACAGAUAGAGACGAAUGUAGAGAGACUUUAUAAAUUCAGGUAGUCUCUAGUUGUAAUUUAGUACCAGGAACCUUAAGCUGAGGUCCCUUUAGUCCCAUUCUUAUUUUUUCCAACUUCCUAAAAACACACUCUUCUCUUUUUUCCUAUAGUAGCAGGGAAAGCUGGGCUGCCUAGGUGAAGAUUAGUGAUCUGUACUGUUUGUAUGUUUAGGUCAUUUAUUAAAUGGCAGCAUAGCAUAAUUGUUGAGGUUAAGCUCUCAAGCCCAAUUUCCCUACUUACCUGCUUGUGUGACAUUGGGUAGGCUACUUUCUGUGCCUCAUUUGUCUUAUCUGUGUAAUAUAAAGAUGAUAAUACUAGUACUUCCCUCACCUGCUAUUGUGAGAAUUGAAUUACACAUUUUAAAUGAGUUAAUACCUUAGUCUGGUAAGCACUCAAUAACUAUAAGCUAUUAUUCAUAAUUUAGAAGCAACCUCUCUAUUUCCUAAAAUAUGCCUAUUCAUUAAUAAGAAGAGAGUAAUGAUGAAAGCUAGGAACUAUUAUUUCCAUUGAUAUAAAAAGUAGACUCUUAGAACUGCAAAAGAUCCAAGAAACUAUUUAGACCAUUGAGUCUUAAUCAGUAAUAUGUAUCACAAUCACUUAUGAGGUGUUGUCAAGAUAUAGUUACCCAGGCCCCCACUUCUUACAUCUAUUAAGUCAGAAAUGUCCACAGGCACGCCCAUUGUAGCCUUUCUGCUAAAACCCACUGUUAAGGCUUUAGAUUUUACAAUAAGCAAAUUGAGUCUCAAGAGUAAAUGAUUUGCCUAAGACCCCAUAGGGUAAAGCCCCUUAAGGGAUCCAAGUCACUUACCUCCUUGGUGAGUGAUCUUUCUAUUCUUUCAUGUUGCUUGCCCAAUAUAUUAACUUUUAAACUAAUAUAGGAGUUUAUCCUUCUUUUAGUAAUAUCAGGAAGUAUAGUAAAUGAUUUAAAACUGUAUUUUAACAACAUUUAAUUCAAAAUAACAAAAUUUAUUUUACAAGUCAUGCUGAGAACUAUUGCACAUUUACAAUAGGAUUUUAAAUGAAUUUUCCUGGGCUUUUCAUGUGAACAUUAGUCUUUGCCAUAAUGCUUGCUGCUAAUUAGUGCAAGAAAACACUGUGUGUGGCAAAAGAGCUGCUCAGUCCAACCUCUCAGACUGACAGGCAAACAAAUGUUUUAUAGGGUAAGGUAACUGUAGCUGUUUUGUAGCUUGAGAGCUUUCAAAAAUAAAAUAUGCACUUCUUCUAAUUAGGUGGGGUUUUUUAACCUUUGUGAAAUAUUCUUAGAAGUUUCUAGUCUAUGAAUAGUUAAUGCAGAAAAAUUAAUGGUGAUUAGGUACAGUGCUUUACCAAUUGGUAGAUCAAAAGACUAAAAACUAGAGCAAAAAAAAAAAAAAAAAGAAAAGAAAAAAGUUAGAGUUUUUAUAUUUGUAAUUGGGUGCUAUGAUAUUAUCUUUUAAUAUGUUUUUCUGUAUAAGUUAAAGAAAUAAAAUACAUUAGAAUUUGUAUGUGCACUUGUUCAAAUGUGUGAAGCAAAUUAGGUGACAGGGCAAAAGCAAGAAAAUGGAAUUCAAAUUAAAUCCACAUCUCAGAGCAGGUUCUAUUUAAUUUCUCCAUAUUUGCUAUUAUAAAUAUUUUAUUUUCAUGUAUGAGUUUCUUGCUAGAGAUGAUAAGUGGCUGCCAACCUAACUUCUAAUUCUUAGACACACAUUUUACCAACAAACCCACUCACUUUAGUAUAUGCUAUGUACAGGGCCCCAAAAAGUCUACCAUCCCAGAUCUCCUUUAGCUGUUAUUCAAGUAGUAUUAUUUCUUUUGUGUUUCUACCUGACGCUUCAUCUUGGGUUCAGUCUUUGGAUCUUUUUACUCGAAGCUUGUGUUUGGCUUCCUGAUAUUUAAAUCUCUGCUCAACCUGAUUGUCUUUGAUUUAGAUUCACUUCUUCACAGCUUAGAACCCACUGAUUACAGCAGUUCACAAAUCCCUGGCACAACCACUGACUGACUACCUCAAGAGGAAAGAUCUGUCCCAAAUACAAGCCCUGUAUUAUAUACAUCCAUUUAUUCAUCUGCUCCACAGAUUUUUGCUCAUUAUCUACUGUGUAUAAGGCACUGUAGAAGUUUUUUGCAGAUAAGAAUAACUACAGAAACUCCUUAAGGUCCUUAAAAUCUAUAGGACAAAUAAUAUCAUGAUAAUUUAAGAUAAUGUGCUCAAUUAUUAUGAAGUUAUAUAUACAAACAGGGGAGUAAUUAACAAAAGCUUCUAAUAGAAAGAUUCUUAACCAGGAAGUUAAGGAGCAUGAGGUGUGAGGGGGCAUUAUCAACUAGAACCCGGAUUAUUGGGUUAUAGAUUGAAAAAGACUAAGAACACUGACAGAUGGCAACUUAACUAGACUUUGAACUCAGGGUAGGGGAGACACCAUGGGACAAAUAUAGUCCAAAAAAUGGAACCAGUAAGGUCACAAAAAGCUUACAUUGUGUUAAACCUUAUUUGUCCAGACUAAUUGACAGUGUGAGGAGUGACAGCAAACCUAGGAAAAUUGAUUAGAACCAGGUCAUGGAAGGUUUUGAAUACUGAAGAGUUUAGAGUUGGGAGGCAUGUAUUGGGGAAUCCAGAUAUUAUGAGAAGGAAAUGAUGAUUGAGUUGAUUGAGUGGUAUACAGGAAGGAUUUGGUGGUGGGGAAAAAGGCAGGCAGAGACUGAAGACAAAGUAGUGAGGGCCAAGAGGUGAAGACUUUAUUCAUUUCUAAGUAUCUGACAUGUGUGAGGCACUGUGUUGGUGCUGAGGACACAAUGAGGACUUGGUCCUUGCUAUGAGGGAGUUUUCAGUGUAGUGAGAGACAUUACUAUCUUAAAGGCUUUAAGAGGGGUGUUUAUGCAAAAUUUUAGUACUCCACUUCUGACCUUUGCCUGGGUGGUAGGGGAUUAAGUCCUUAUUUUAUAAUGACAUAUAUUCCCUACCCUCUGAAAUUACUUUUAUAUUUUUGAAUUGGCUAAGGCAAAAUUAUCCCAACUACCUCCAUAUAAAUAAAAGUAAUUUAUUAUCCAAAAUGAGUUAAGAUAAUAAUACUGCACCAGACAGCCAAAGAAGAAAAUGUCAUAUCUUAAAGAGAUAACUGAAGAUCAUGUGGAGAGCAAACUGGAGAUUUUUUUUUAAGGGCAAGAAAACCAGUUAGGAGGCUGUUGUAGUAAUCCACCUAUUUGAUUGUGAGUACCUCAACCAAGACUGUAUGAAAAGAAAAGGAGUCCUUUGUGACUACUUUUACCAUAAUUCUUUGUAUCAUUCCUCAGGUACAAAUAGGGGAUGGAUAGGUGACUCUGGCUUGGAUUCAAACAGAGAGUGUCAAAAACCUAAGAAACACUCAAUUUACUUCUUCAGACUUAGAAGUAAUGCUCUUACAGUCAAGUAGUCUCUUUUCUGGGUGAUUUCUUACUUGGAGCAUGGUUCUGCAACCUUAACCUUGACCUGAUUCUGUGAGCUACCUGAUAAAUUCUUGGUUUUACUAUAGUUGACCCAAAUUGGUUCCUAGGACUUUUGGUCAAAACCCCCAAUCAACACUGUAAAUGAUAUUUAAGAAUGGACUUAUGGAAAAUGUUUGACAGUUUGAAAUAUGGAACUAGAAGUGUGGUUCUCAAGGUGUGGUCACUGAUGCAAGAUCAGUAUCACCUGACAACUUGGUAGAAAUGCAGAUUCUCAGGACCUAACCCAGACUUUUGGAAUAUAAAUCUCUAGGAGUGGGGACCUAGCAAUCUGAAUAUUAACAAGCAUUGAUGCUGCUAACUUAAGACUGGAACCUCUAUAACUAUGGGCCAAAAUAAACCUCUUAACUUUGUAUGUUAAUUGCAUCAGGUUUUUAAUUAUAGUGAUGGAAAGCUGACUAAGACAAUAGAUCAGAGAAUUAACCUGUAAAAAGGAGGACACUUCUGGGAAUGGAAAGAAGGGAAUUUGAUUUGAUUUGAUAUAGUAAAUUAAAAUACUAGAUAUCUAGUUAAAGUUUAAUUUUAGAUAAAGAGUGAAUACUUUUUUAGUAUUAUUAAGUAUGUCUCUCUCACGCAAUAUUUGGUACAUUUCGUGUUUUAUCUUAAAUAUAAAUUGACUAUUUCUAUGAUAUGAUAUUUGGUAUAUACUUAUACAGUAUUCCUUGAUUAUUUGAAGUUCCAGUUUAACUGGGUAUCCUGUAUUUUAUCUGAAAACCCUACUUUGGAUAGUUUUAAAAAUAAAUCCAUGGGCUGGGGAUGUGGCUCAAGCGGUAACUCGCUCGCCUGGCAUGUGCGAGGCAAUGGGUUCGAUCCUCAGCACCACAUAAAAAUAAAGAUGUUGUGUCCACCAAAAACUGAAAAAUAAAUAUUAAAAAAUAUUCUCUCCCCCCCCCUCCUUAAAAUAAAUAAAUAAAUAAAUCCAUGGUGAAAUAAUCUGAAAAGGAAUACAAAAGUAUACUGGGGGAUUUAGUCCUGGAAAAAAAAAAUUGGAACAGCUGUUCUGGAUGCUGAGUUGUAGUGGAUACCCAGUUAAAAACAGGCAGCAUGAUUUUUUUUUUUCUUGGAUUAAAUCAGCAGUAAUGUUUCACUUGUUGGAAGAAGUAAUAGAGAUUUCUAUUACAGGGACCCUUUUAUUUGACUUCAGGAGAGCCGUGGGCAGGAGAUUCAGGCGUAAUUGAAAUGAUUAGGGUCCAAGCUGUUCAGGAAGGCAGUUGAAAUCAGAAAAGUAAUUGGCAAAGACUUGAGAGUCUAGCAGUCACAACGAGUCAGAGAAGUGAAAGUUCACAAACAAACUAAUAAUUUAUAGCCUUAGAAGAAUAGUUCUAUAUAAUAAUGGGGUUAAAAAUCUUAUUUCAUAUUAUAGAACUAGAGCUAAAUUAAAAGUAACAGCUCUGAAGAUAGGAUCUGGUUUUGAAUUCUGGUUGUGUGAUCUUGGUCAAUUAAUUUAACUUCCUUCUGCCUUAGCUUUUAUUUGUAAAAUGGGAAUAAUAUUCUUACUUCAUAUACUUCAUAGGUUUAUUGUUCAGAGUAAGUGAAACAAGCCUUGUGAAAUAACUAGUACAAUAUGUUUGUUGGAUAGUAAGCCCUCAAAUAUUUGUGCUUUUUUUAAACUAUUUUAAAUAUAAUUAAAUAUAUCUAUAGUCAAUAAAUGUAAGUGACUUAGAGAAUGUUAUUUUAAAGAAAAAUGGUGUGGUAUACAUUGUGAAUUUCCUCCUUAGAUAGAAAAUGUUGUUUGGUAAAUACAUACACAAUUAUCUACCUGUCAAAGUUGAAACCCAUGCAUUUAAGGUUGUUUUCUUAACUCUUAAGAAAAUAAUUAUGCUCAAGCCAUAUCUGUCUCAUUUGCCCCUAGGUGACCAUGCUUUGGGAUUUUCAUAGUUUGAAUAAUUCCUAUGGGCUCUGCCACCCACCAAGUUAAAGAAGACAAGAUUUCUCCCAGGGGGUUGUAUUGUGGGAAUGUGAGCAGCUUGUUUUAAUGAGAUCUGUGUCUUCGUCUUGUCUCCUGUUAGGAGCUCUGGCGGUGGUUAUAUUGUUUUUGAUUGUUGUUUCUUACAUCUUUCUCAGAUUUUUAAAUUUAUUUACAUAUAAAGAAAUGUUUUUGAAAAAUGAAUGUUUUAUGGGGACAUUUUGCUUAUACAAAGAAGAAUUAAAGCUAUUUUAAAGUAAUUA